Molecule: ribosomal RNA, 297 nt
Filed under: uncultured bacterium
Lineage: Bacteria
Description: partial 16S ribosomal RNA
Rfam family: Bacterial small subunit ribosomal RNA
Source: RNAcentral
GAUGAACGCUGGCGGCGUGCCUAACACAUGCAAGUCGAGCGAUUCUCUUCGGAGAAGAGCGGCGGACGGGUGAGUAACGCGUGGGUAACCUGCCCUGUACACACGGAUAACAUACCGAAAGGUAUGCUAAUACGAGAUAAUAUGCUUUUAUCGCAUGGUAGAAGUAUCAAAGCUCCGGCGGUACAGGAUGGACCCGCGUCUGAUUAGCUAGUUGGUGAGGUAACGGCUCACCAAGGCGACGAUCAGUAGCCGACCUGAGAGGGUGAUCGGCCACAUUGGAACUGAGACACGGUCCAA